RNAcentral lists this ribosomal RNA (2136 nucleotides) under Triticum aestivum (bread wheat). Its description in RNAcentral is "partial small subunit ribosomal RNA". Lineage: Eukaryota; Viridiplantae; Streptophyta; Magnoliopsida; Poales; Poaceae. The record is from RNAcentral.
AUGCGGUCACACCAUUGCCCAAACAGCAGCAGAUUUCCCUUGCCUUUUCUAGGAUUGGCUCUCGUGCUGCUGAUAUCCUUGGCCCCUCCGACCAGCUCCUGCACGGAGCAGGAGAAGAGCUCCCUCCUCCAGCUCCUUGCUGGGUUCUCGCAGGACGGCGGCCUCGGGGCGUCAUGGCGGAACGAUACGGACUUCUGCACUUGGGAAGGGAUCACCUGCAGCCCCAACAGGACGGUCAGUGAUGUUUUGUUGGCCUCUCGAGGCCUCGAGGGGUCCAUCUCACAGUUCAUUGGAAAUCUCACCGGCUUGUUGCGCAUCAACCUGUCGUGCAACUCACUGUCCGGUGGCUUGCCGCUAGAAUUGGUGUCAUCCAGCAGCAUCCUUGUCCUUGAUGUCAGUUUCAACCGCCUGACAGGAGCACUGAGCGAGCUGCCAUCUUUAACCCCUGCACGGCCUCUGCAGGUAGUGAACAUCUCAAGCAACUUGUUUACAGGAAGGUUUCCAUCCACAACAUGGGAAGUGAUGAAGAGCCUGGUCGCGCUCAAUGCCAGCAACAAUAGUUUUACUGGGCAGCUACCAACUACACUCUGUCUCAGCGCACCAUCUUUUGUUGUGCUUGAACUCAGUUUUAACGAAUUCAGUGGAAACAUUCCUCCUGGACUCGGUAAUUGCUCCAUGCUGAAAUUGCUCGGCGCUGGCUACAACAACCUCAGUGGGACUCUUCCAGACGAGGUCUUCAAAGUCACCUCAUUAGAGCACCUCUCUUUACCUAACAAUUGGUUAGAAGGAGCACUUGAUGGCAUCAUCAAGCUCACAAAUCUGGUCACCCUUGAUCUUGGGGGCAACAAGCUCAGCGGCAAUAUUCCGGAUUCCAUAGGUCAGCUGAAGAGUUUGGAGGAGCUGCAUUUGGAACAAAACCACAUAUCAGGGGAGCUGCCAUCAGCUCUGAGCAAUUGCACACAUCUCACAACAAUUAGCUUAAAGGGCAACCAAUUCCAUGGAGAACUUACCAAGGUCAACUUCUCAAACCUGCCCAAUCUAAAAAAAAUAGAUCUUCUGCACAAUAACUUCAUCGGCAACAUUCCAGAAAGCUUAUACUCGUGCAGCAAUCUGACUGCACUACGGCUCUCGGGCAAUCAUUUACAUGGCCAAUUGUCAGAAAAGAUAGGCAAUCUGAAGUCUCUCUCGUUUCUAUCAGUUGCUAACCUCUCCCUUACGAACAUCACAAGAACACUUCAGAUCCUUGGGAGAUCCAGGAGCCUGACCAACCUUUUUAUUGGGUCUAACUUCCUGCAUGAGGCCAUACCAGAGGAUGACAGCAUUGAUGGUUUUGAAAAUCUUCAUGUUCUUUCUAUGAGUGAUUGUUCAUUGUCUGGAACAAUACCUGGUUGGUUAUCCAAGCUCACACAUUUAAGGAUGCUAUUUUUGCAAAGCAAUCAACUAACUGGACCAAUACCUGAAUGGACCAGCAGCCUGAACUUGCUCUUCUAUUUAGACAUAUCAAACAACAGCUUCAUAGGUGAAAUUUCAACUGCCUUAAUGGAGAUGCCAAUGCUAAAAUCAGACAGGACUGCGCCAAAGGUCUUCUUUGAACUGCCUGUUUAUCUUUUCAGUCCAUUUAUCCAAUACCUCAAACCUGGUGCUUUUCCUAAAGUGCUUAAUCUAGCCAUCAAUAAUUUCACUGGUGCGAUCCCGGAGGAGAUCGGUCAGUUAAGAGCACUCGUCGCACUCAAUUUAAGCUCCAACAAAUUAUCAGGAGAGAUCCCUCAAGAGAUCUGCAACCUCAGGAACCUGCAGGUGCUCGACUUGUCUGUUAAUCAUCUUACUGGUAUAAUUCCAGCUGCACUGAACAAUCUGAACAUCCUUUCUGAGUUCGACAUUACUAACAAUGACCUAGAAGGCCCUAUUCCAACCGGAGGGCAGCUUAGCACGUUUCCAGAUUCUAGCUUUGAUGGAAACCCAAAAUUGUGUGGUCCUGUGAUUGCAAACCCUUGCGGUUCAGCCGUAGCAGAUCCAGAGCUCACCAACUCCAGAGAACAGAUCAGCACUAAUGCCAUCUUUGCGAUUGCCUUUGGUGCUUUCUUUGGAGUAGGAGUCCUAUAUGAUCAGAUGGUCCUAACCAGAUAUUUUGGCUAG